Molecule: ribosomal RNA, 571 nt
Filed under: Nigrospora sphaerica
Lineage: Eukaryota; Fungi; Ascomycota; Sordariomycetes; Amphisphaeriales; Apiosporaceae
Description: eukaryotic LSU rRNA
Rfam family: 5.8S ribosomal RNA (bases 205-358)
Source: RNAcentral
AAGUAAAAGUCGAACAAGGUCUCCGUUGGUGAACCAGCGGAGGGAUCAUUACAGAGUUAUCCAACUCCCAAACCCAUGUGAACAUAUCUCUUUGUUGCCUCGGCGCAAGCUACCCGGGACCUCGCGCCCCGGGCGGCCCGCCGGCGGACAAACCAAACUCUGUUAUCUUCGUUGAUUAUCUGAGUGUCUUAUUUAAUAAGUCAAAACUUUCAACAACGGAUCUCUUGGUUCUGGCAUCGAUGAAGAACGCAGCGAAAUGCGAUAAGUAAUGUGAAUUGCAGAAUUCAGUGAAUCAUCGAAUCUUUGAACGCACAUUGCGCCCAUUAGUAUUCUAGUGGGCAUGCCUGUUCGAGCGUCAUUUCAACCCCUAAGCACAGCUUAUUGUUGGGCGUCUACGUCUGUAGUGCCUCAAAGACAUUGGCGGAGCGGCAGCAGUCCUCUGAGCGUAGUAAUUCUUUAUCUCGCUUCUGUUAGGCGCUGCCCCCCCGGCCGUAAAACCCCCAAUUUUUUCUGGUGACCUCGGAUCAGGUAGGAAUACCCGCUGAACUUAAGCAUAUCAAUAAGCGGAGGA